GACGAACGCUGGCGGCGUGCUUAACACAUGCAAGUCGAACGGAAAGGCCCCUUCGGGGGUACUCGAGUGGCGAACGGGUGAGUAACACGUGCGUAACCUGCCCUUGACUUCGGGAUAACUUCAGGAAACUGGGGCUAAUACCGGAUAGGAAUCCUUGCUGCAUGGUGGGGGUUGGAAAGCUUCGGCGGUUUUGGAUGGACUCGCGGCUUAUCAGCUUGUUGGUGGGGUAGUGGCUUACCAAGGCUUUGACGGGUAGCCGGCCUGAGAGGGCGACCGGCCACAUUGGGACUGAGAGACGGCCCAGACUCCUACGGGAGGCAGCAGUGGGGAAUAUUGCACAAUGGGCGGAAGCCGGAUGCAGCAACGCCGCGUGCGGGAUGACGGCCUUCGGGUUGUAAACCGCUUUCAGCAGGGGCGAAGCUUGUGGUGACGGUACCUGCAGAAGAAGCACCGGCUAACUACGUG
This 465-nucleotide ribosomal RNA is filed under the name uncultured bacterium. RNAcentral describes it as "partial 16S ribosomal RNA". It matches the Rfam family "Bacterial small subunit ribosomal RNA", at positions 28 to 507 of the family's 1533-position model. The record is from RNAcentral.